GUGAGCUAAUUGUACAUAAAUACCUCUUAUAAGAAAGCUAGUUAGUCUGUUAGUUACAUUACCGAGAUUGGGACUUAUCAUGAUAUACAGAACAUAAAACAAUCCUUGUUAUCCAGAAAGCUAAGGCACCUGGUAGCGUAUAAAUGUUCACCACUGCUCGGGCUUUUGUGUGGCCAUGUAGAGCCUGAAAUUAUUACUUUACCUUUCAUGCUGUUAUUUGAGCAAUGGCAGAUUAUGUAAAUGUACUUUAGUACUGAACAUUCUCUUCCUGGCAUCAUUUUGUCAUCUAAAAAUAAGGAAAUUUGUGUUUGACCAUGAAGCGAGAUCGAUCAACUGCAGACCAGACAACAAACGACGGAGGCACCAGACGAAUGCAAUCAAACGAUGAGUUUAUUAACACAGGAGAGGCAACAUCUGCAUAUGUCUUCCUCUGACAAAAAUUCAUCAAAUGCUGGUUUUAUACCAUAGAACAUUAACGCCCACACAUACACGUCAAUACAAGUCAAAAAUACAUUGUUGGCAGACAUGAGCGCAUCUUAUACAUUUUAAUAACUAUAAACAGUCAUAUAACUUCUCUUUUCUAUAACACCUGCCUUUUAAGUGAAGCUUAAAACCCUCUUGGAUGGAACAUCAACUCUAAACAAGCACAGGACAGAGCCUACAGUAUGCCGCAGCCUAAAGGCAGAGUGAUGUUGCUGAGGCUGGAGUGAUUACUGGCCUUCUUCUUACAGGGUGGUGGGUCUUGGAGGACAACUGCUGAUCCCUGUUAAAGUGGUCGACAUGUGAAGUGCAACUGGCUCGUGGCAAAGCUGGCUCUGGCCUUGGACUGUGUGGUUUUUAGCCUUCAUUUUUG
This is a long non-coding RNA of Oreochromis aureus, 853 nucleotides long. NCBI's taxonomy places the organism in Eukaryota, Metazoa, Chordata, Actinopteri, Cichliformes, Cichlidae. The record is from Ensembl.